This 352-nucleotide unclassified non-coding RNA is filed under the name Hevea brasiliensis (rubber tree). Lineage: Eukaryota; Viridiplantae; Streptophyta; Magnoliopsida; Malpighiales; Euphorbiaceae. The record is from RNAcentral.
UUUCUCCUGGACUCUGAAAUCCUCCUCCCCAAGAUUUGUCCCCGCGCUAUUAAGAGUGUUGUCAUUCUUGAAGGAGAUGGAGGACCUGGCACCAUCAAGCAAAUUAACUUCAAUCAUGGUAGCGAAUUAAGUCAUGUGAAGGAAAGGAUUGAUGCCAUAGACAAGGAGAAUUUGACAUAUGACUACUCUGUGAUUGGAGGUGAUCCUGCCCUUCUGAAUAAGGCACUUGAUAAAAUCUCUUUUCAGAUUAAGGUUGAAAGCUCCCCUGAUGGAGGAUCCAUCUUCAAGCGCAGCAGCAAGAGUUACACUAUUGAUGGUGCUGAGGUGAAUGAAGAGGAAAUUAAGGCUGGAC